UACGUAGGGUGCGAGCGUUGUCCGGAAUUAUUGGGCGUAAAGAGCUCGUAGGCGGCUUGUCGCGUCGGAUGUGAAAGCCCGGGGCUUAACUCCGGGUCUGCAUUCGAUACGGGCAGGCUAGAGUUCGGUAGGGGAGAUCGGAAUUCCUGGUGUAGCGGUGAAAUGCGCAGAUAUCAGGAGGAACACCGGUGGCGAAGGCGGAUCUCUGGGCCGAUACUGACGCUGAGACGCGAAAGCGUGGGGAGCAAACAGG
Molecule: ribosomal RNA, 253 nt
Filed under: uncultured bacterium
Lineage: Bacteria
Description: partial 16S ribosomal RNA
Rfam family: Bacterial small subunit ribosomal RNA
Source: RNAcentral